UACGAAGGGGGCUAGCGUUGCUCGGAAUCACUGGGCGUAAAGGGUGCGUAGGCGGGUCUUUAAGUCAGGGGUGAAAUCCUGGAGCUCAACUCCAGAACUGCCUUUGAUACUGAAGAUCUUGAGUCCGGGAGAGGUGAGUGGAACUGCGAGUGUAGAGGUGAAAUUCGUAGAUAUUCGCAAGAACACCAGUGGCGAAGGCGGCUCACUGGCCCGGUACUGACGCUGAGGCACGAAAGCGUGGGAGCAACAGG
This 251-nucleotide ribosomal RNA is filed under the name uncultured bacterium. Its description in RNAcentral is "partial 16S ribosomal RNA". It matches the Rfam family "Bacterial small subunit ribosomal RNA", at positions 524 to 776 of the family's 1533-position model. The record is from RNAcentral.